This 370-nucleotide unclassified non-coding RNA is filed under the name soil metagenome. RNAcentral's name for it is "partial contains 5.8S ribosomal RNA, internal transcribed spacer 2, and large subunit ribosomal RNA". The stretch from base 1 to 120 matches the Rfam family "5.8S ribosomal RNA", at positions 35 to 154 of the family's 154-position model. The record is from RNAcentral.
GAUGAAGAACGUAGCGAAAUGCGAUAAGUAAUAUGAAUUGCAGAAUUCAGUGAACCAUCGAAUCUUUGAACGCACAUUGCGCCCGGCAGUAAUCUGCCGGGCAUGCCUGUCCGAGCGUCAUUUCUACCCUCAAGCGAGUCCAGCAUCUAGGUGCUGGGCCUCGCCCGGCGUUGGAGCACUACGGGAAGCCCUGUGCUGUCCCCCGUAGGCCCCGAAAUGAAGUGGCGGUCCUGCCGCGGCGCCCCCUGCGUAGUAUAACAGCUCGCUUCGGGACCCGGUGGAGGCCUGCCGUCAAACCUAUACUCUCUAAGUUUGACCUCGGAUCAGGUAGGGUUACCCGCUGAACUUAAGCAUAUCAAUAAGCGGAGGA